Molecule: long non-coding RNA, 2836 nt
Filed under: Sus scrofa (pig)
Lineage: Eukaryota; Metazoa; Chordata; Mammalia; Artiodactyla; Suidae
Description: lncRNA (ENSSSCG00045038165.1)
Source: RNAcentral
UGUCUUUAUUCUUUUUUUUUUUGGCCACACCUACAGCAAAUGGAAGUUUCUGGGCCAGCGAUCAAAUCCAAGCCUCAGCUUCGACCUGUACCACAGCUUCACCAACACCAGAUCCUUAACCCACUGCACUAGGCUAGAGAUGAAACCCACCCUGCCACAGAGACAACACAGGAUCCUUAACCUACUGUGCCACACUGGGAACUCCAACUGUCCUUAUUCUUAGGAGGUAGGUGGAUUAGAAAAAAUUAUGAAUAAUAUGGAUACAUAUGAUGAAAGAGCAAGAGAUCAACCAAGAACAAAAUAUCAGUGCACCUGGGUGAGAAGCAUAUAGGGAUAUUUUUAUGGCAAUGAAGCUAUUCUGAAUAACACUAACGAUAGAUACAUGUCAUUACACAUUUGUCAAAAUGCACAGAAUGUACUGCAACAAACAAAGAAUAAAGAGUGAACCCUAAGGUAGACUAAGGACUUUGGUUAAUAAUAAUGUACCAAUCUUGGCUCAUAGACUAUAAUAAAGGUACCACACCACUGUAAGAUAUGAAUGACAGGGAAAACUCGGGUAGAGAUGGGGGUGGGGUGGGGAGAUGAGACCCAGAGAUGAGGGACUGUAUGAGAACUCUCUGUACUUUGUAUUCAUUUUUCUGUAAAAUAUAAAACUGUUCAAAAAAUAAAAUCUAUUAUUUUUUUUUUUCAAAGCAAGGCACUGUGUCACUCUGUUCUGGUUAGAUGCUUAUGGGUCAAGAUUUUUAAAUGGCACCAAAAGAUAUUUUAAUUUCCUCCAAUUUCACAUGCCAGAACUGCAUUAUGAAGCAAACAGCUGAAACAGAAAACAACCUAAUGAGAGCCUGCCUAUCAUUUUCUAGGUCUUCUUUUUUCAUUAACUUCCAAAAUGCCCAGUUGUUCAUUCAUUUACUUUCAUAAGGAAAAUGCACUCUAUUCACUGCACGUCGUCAUGAAGCAUUGUUUCUGUCUCCAAGGACGUAUUUGUGGAAAAUGGCCCUCUUCACAUCCCCUUAAAGCUGGAGCCAAGGAGCUUCCAGUGAUUCUCCACAGGGCUAGAGAUAGCAACAUAUGCAGCCUUAAAUGUUAAAUGCUGCAAAAGAAAGAAAUCUGGGGUAAAAAGACACCCUGUUCUUUACUGAAGAAAAAACACACACACACAGCUUGAAAAAUACCUGAGUACAGGAAUUCCUAGUGGCUCAGUGGGUUAAGGAUCUGACAGUGUCACUGCAGUGGCUCGGGUUGCUGCAUGGGUUCAAUUCCUGGCUUGGGUGAAUUUCCACAUGCUCCAGGUGUGGCCAAAAAAAACAAAAACAAAACAAAAGCCAAAAAAGGUAAAGGCUGCAUCAAAGCAGCUGAAAAAAGAAAAGAAAAGAGAAAUAGCUGAGUAUAAACUCUCCUUCAAACACAUCUGCAAGCAGUGAAGCAUUUCAGCUGUUAAGGAGGAGUGCUCAGUUCAGGAAGAUUCACAAUAAUGUGUCUGUGAAGGAACCUAUUGCCUUCCUGGUGUGGGUUAAAAUGGAGACAUGUUUUCUUUUCUGCACCUCAAGAUGGGUAAAAAGCCUAGCACUAAAUACAACAGUACUUCUGUUGUGUUAAAUGACAAGUACCACUUUCCCCUGGUUGUGCCUUUAAUAAGCAGGGUCUAACUUUUAGCUUUGAACAUAGUAGAACAACAUUUUGAAUGCACAGAAAUAUUCCAGACCUGCAGUUCUCCAAGUGCGGUCGCUGGACCAGCAGCAUUGGCAUUACCGGGGAACUUGCUGGAAAUGCAAUUCUAAUCCAGACCUAUUGAAUCAGAAAUUCCAGGGGCAGGACCCAGCCAUCUGCACUCACAAGCCCUCCAGAUGAUGAUGAUGUCCAGUGAAGUUGGAAAGCCAUGCUUCCAGAAGUCCUAAAUAUGCAAACAUGUCUUACCUUCCCCUCUCUAUGUUGACUGAAACCAAUCAUUUAGUUGAGCCUGGCUCAGAGAGCUCCUCAUAUUCGUAACACUAGUGUAGCUCCUUAAGCGUGGAAUUCCCUGGUGGAGCAACAAGAUAAGGAUCUGGUGUUGUCACUGCUAUAGCUCAGGUGCACUGCUGUGACUCAGGUUCAGUCCCUGGUCUGGGAACUUCUGCAUGCAUCGGUGUGGUUAAAAAAAAAAAAAGAAUCUCAUCUUUUGCUCCCUGCCUCUCCACCAUGCAAGAAUAGAAAAAAAGUGCUCCCCUAAGACAGGAGGAAGACCUACAUCCAGUGCCAACUCUGACUGACAUACAAAGAAGUCUGUUUUCUCAGUUUAAAAAAAAAAAAAUCAAAGUCAUGCUCUCUCCAAAGGGCUUGCCUUUCUUGAUAAUCACUAUACCUGCAUUUUAUACUGGAUAACAAUUUUCAGUUUACGAAGCACCUCUAGAUACAGUAUGUAAUUCAGCUGUGGCACAGAUUCUCCACCUCCCCUCACUCCAGCAUUUCAUGAAGGAGCUCAGAGAACUCUGAGUAAUCAGUGACCAGUCCAAGACUACGCAACAAGUAAGUGUCCAGAGCCUCUUCCGCUCAUGCCAAGCACAAUGCUCUACAAAGCCUUCAUCAAAGAAACAUUAGCUGUGGGAAUCUCGGAUGAAUUAUUGAAGCUCAUUUCCACAACCAUAAAAAGAAGUAAAAGUUGGAAUUCCCAUCAUGGCGCAGCAGAAACAAAUACGAUUAGGAACCAUGAGGUUUCAGGUUCGAUCCCUGGCCUUGCUCAGUGGGAUGAGGAUCCACUGUUGCUGUGAGCUGUGGUAUAGGUGGCGGACACGGCUCAGAUCUGUCAUUGCUGUGGCUGUGCCAUAGGCCAGCAGCUGUAGCUCUGAUUCGACCCCUAGCC